Molecule: transfer RNA, 74 nt
Filed under: Paraplanobispora siamensis
Lineage: Bacteria; Bacillati; Actinomycetota; Actinomycetes; Streptosporangiales; Streptosporangiaceae
Description: Planobispora siamensis tRNA-Arg
Rfam family: tRNA
About the family: Transfer RNA (tRNA) molecules are approximately 80 nucleotides in length. Their secondary structure includes four short double-helical elements and three loops (D, anti-codon, and T loops).
Source: RNAcentral
GCCUCCGUCGCCCAAGGGAUGGGCACCGGCCUUCUAAGCCGGAGUGUGCGGGUUCGAAUCCUGCCGGAGGCACC